GGCUUCAUAGUUCAGUAGUGUAGAAUGCCAGCCUGUCACGCUGGAGGUCGUGGGUUCGAUUCCCAUCGGGGUCGCCA
This 77-nucleotide transfer RNA is filed under the name Caudoviricetes sp. RNAcentral's name for it is "tRNA-Asp". It matches the Rfam family "tRNA". From Rfam's summary of the family: Transfer RNA (tRNA) molecules are approximately 80 nucleotides in length. Their secondary structure includes four short double-helical elements and three loops (D, anti-codon, and T loops). Further hydrogen bonds mediate the characteristic L-shaped molecular structure. tRNAs have two regions of fundamental functional importance: the anti-codon, which is responsible for specific mRNA codon recognition, and the 3' end, to which the tRNAs corresponding amino acid is attached (by aminoacyl-tRNA synthetases). tRNAs cope with the degeneracy of the genetic code in two manners: having more than one tRNA (with a specific anti-codon) for a particular amino acid; and 'wobble' base-pairing, i.e. permitting non-standard base-pairing at the 3rd anti-codon position. Lineage: Duplodnaviria; Heunggongvirae; Uroviricota; Caudoviricetes. The record is from RNAcentral.